RNAcentral lists this ribosomal RNA (554 nucleotides) under uncultured cyanobacterium. RNAcentral describes it as "bacterial SSU rRNA". It matches the Rfam family "Bacterial small subunit ribosomal RNA", at positions 236 to 803 of the family's 1533-position model. The record is from RNAcentral. Lineage: Bacteria; Bacillati; Cyanobacteriota.
UCUGAUUAGCUAGUUGGUAGGGUAAAAGCCUACCAAGGCAUCGAUCAGUAACUGGUCUGAGAGGAUGACCAGUCACACUGGGACUGAGACACGGCCCAGACUCCUACGGGAGGCAGCAGUGGGGAAUUUUCCGCAAUGGGCGAAAGCCCGACGGAGCAAUACCGCGUGAGGGAGGAAGGCUCUUGGGUUGUAAACCUCUUUUCUCAGGGAAGAACAAAAUGACGGUACCUGAGGAAUCAGCAUCGGCUAACUCCGUGCCAGCAGCCGCGGUAAUACGGAGGAUGCAAGCGUUAUCCGGAAUGAUUGGGCGUAAAGCGUCCGCAGGUGGCUGCUUCAAGUCUGCUGUCAAAGCUCAGGGCUUAACCCUGAAUCGGCGGUGGAAACUGAACAGCUAGAGUGCGGUAGGGGUAGAGGGAAUUCCCAGUGUAGCGGUGAAAUGCGUAGAGAUUGGGAAGAACACCAGUGGCGAAAGCGCUCUGCUGGACCGCAACUGACACUCAUGGACGAAAGCUAGGGGAGCGAAUGGGAUUAGAUACCCCAGUAGUCCUAGCCGU